GGGGGGGGAUUUGUUUUGUUUGUUUUAAAGAUCUAUUUAUAUUUUACUUCCAUCUGUGUCUGUGCAUCAUGUAUGAGCAUUGCCCCCAGAAGGCAGAAGAGGGCAUCCAGUCCUCUGGAACUGGAAUUACAGAUGGUUGUGAGCAUGCUAGAAAAAGUGAACCCAGGUCUUCUACAGGAGCAACCAAUGCCCUUAACUGCUGAACACGGUCCAGCGCCUUAAGCCUGUUUUUAAUCUUCGGCUUUCGUAGUUGGCUCUUCAGGGAUGCAUGGCACACUCAGAUGUACACUGAGCAAAAUGUGCUCUGGGAGGUAGAAUGAAGAAUCUGGCCUCACAUGUCUUUUCUUCUUCUCGUUCAUGAAGUAGUCAUGCUAGAGUCGUGGUUUGUUGUUGUUGGUUGUUUUUUAAUUGUGAGGAUUAGUGAUAGUGUGUGCCUGUGCACAACCAUACACAUGUGUAUAUGUGUUUAAAACUGUUUAUAACUUUUCUCUGAAUGUCAGGUCUUCACUUACAAACUCAGUGUGUGUGUGUGUGUGUGUGUGUGUGUGUGUGUGUAUGGACAUGGAUAUGUGUGUGCUUGUAUGUUGAUAUCUUGCUUACUCUGGGUUCUCCCAGGGAGGGCACAGCAUCUGCUCCUGCUUACCCCUGGCUCACUUCCUCCACCUUCGUGCCCACCACAGGCCUUUUGCACACACUGAGUACUCAGUGUCUAUUUGGAAUAAUUUCCAAAACUAGCUAAGUUCUUGUCUCUUCUUGUGGCCUCAUGAUCAGUUAUCACUUUAUCUCCUUCCAUGUUUUAAAAAACAUACUUAACAGAAAGAAAGAGAGAGAAAGAAAGGAAAGGGAGGGAGAAAAGGGAGGGAGGGAGGGAGAGAAAGAGAGAAAGAAACACAGAGAGAGAGAAACAGAGAGAGAAACAAAGAAAGAAGAGAUUCUACAUAUAGGAGAAUUUCUAAUAGAACAGGUACUAGAAGAAGCGGCUGCAUGCCCCUGCUGUCUUGGACAACUGUUUGCAUAUUCCAGAACACACACGUGCAACUUUCUCUCUCAGCUGCUUUCCUGGACAGUGUUGAUCUUGCAGAGGCUAAGGGGAUAUUGAGCAAGUUUCCCCCCUUAACAAACACUCCUAACACUGAUAUUCUCAAGAGUCACCUCAAUGGCCAUGUGUGCAGAGGCCUCUGGCUCUCAGGAAUUCCUUUGACCCAGGUCUGGGACCUCAACUGUAGGUGGUAAUGUUGGUUGUAGGGAGAGGGGCAGUCACAGCCAGAGAUUUCAAGACCAGGAAUAAGAAGGUUCUUGAAUAAAUCAUUGCUUGCUCCUGAUAACAAAAUCAUAACUGAGGUUACUGAGGAUAUUUUGAAGGCAGCUUCACCGUUUAUGCCUAGGACAUAAAGUUUUAAUGCCCCUUUAUAUAUGCCUAGGGACAAUAGGGAAUGAAUUUGACUGUAACCUAACCCAUUCUCCUCAUAUCUGUUAAAACCCUGUGUAAGAAAGAGUGUUGGCACUGCCAGGAUUGGUGGAAAGUGGCACAUUGCAGUGUAUGCUUCUUGCCUGUCAGUUCAGUCCUAAGGACUGGCAGAGUGUGUGCUCCAUUCUUUAAAAGUCCCUCAUGGUCAUGUGUUGAAGGCUGUUCUCUAGGUUUGAAAGAAAUGUGAGGGUUGCUUGGGUUAGUGAGGUCCCUGGUCACUGGAGUGUAUCUUAACUGAAUCAUAUGUGCAGCUGUCAUGUUCAUGACCUUUUUGGUACUUGUAAAACCUGACCCUUGCUCACAACUGGAAAUUUAGAGAAAGAAAAAAACCCCAAGAACACAAAGAAAGAAAGAAAGAAAGAAAGAAAGAAAGAAAG
Molecule: long non-coding RNA, 1845 nt
Filed under: Mus musculus (house mouse)
Lineage: Eukaryota; Metazoa; Chordata; Mammalia; Rodentia; Muridae
Description: long non-coding RNA chr18:65066664-65068509
Source: RNAcentral